Molecule: ribosomal RNA, 253 nt
Filed under: uncultured bacterium
Lineage: Bacteria
Description: partial 16S ribosomal RNA
Rfam family: Bacterial small subunit ribosomal RNA
Source: RNAcentral
UACAUGUGGGGCAAGCGUUGUUCGGAAUUACUGGGCAUAAAGGGUGCGUAGGUGGCUUGUUAAGUCAGGGGUGAAAUCCCACGGCCCAACCGUGGAACUGCCUUUGAUACUGGCGAGCUUGAGUGCGUGAGGGGUAACCGGAACGAGUAGUGUAGCGGUGAAAUGCGUAGAUAUUACUCGGAAGGCCAAAGGCGAAGGCAGGUUACUGGUACGCAACUGACACUGAGGCACGAAAGCGUGGGGAGCAAACAGG